UGGUUAAACAAAAAGAGCACAGGGAGGAUGCCUUGGCACUGGGAGCCGAAGAAAGACGUGACAAGCUGCGAAAAUCUGUGGGGAGGGGCAAAUACCCAUUGAUCCACAGGUAUCUGAAUGGGGCAACCUAUCCGGGGAAAGCCCGGAUAUGCCGCAGCCAAUACAUAACUGCGGCAGGGGAACCCGGCGAACUGAAACAUCUAAGUAGCCGGAGGAAAAGAAAGAAAGAUCGAUUCCGGAAGUAGCGGCGAGCGAAACCGGAAAAAGCCCAAACCACAGCACGAGUGCUGUGGGGUUGAGGACUGCAAAAGGCAAAACUCCAGCCACCCGAACGGAUUUGGGAAAUCCGGCCAUAGAGCGUGAAAGCCGUGUAGGGGAAGGCAGGAAUAAGCUGGCAGUAUCCAGAGUACCAUGAGACACGUGGAACCUCGUGGGAAGCAGGGGGGACCACCCCCCAAGGCAAAAUACUACCCAGUGACCGAUAGAGAACAGUACAGUGAUGGAAAGGUGAAAAGGACCCCGGGAGGGGAGUGAAAGAGAACCUGAAACCCUGUGUUUACAUACUGUGGAAGCAUACAAUAGUGUGCGACCGCGUACUUUUUGUAGAACGGUCCGGCGAGCUGCACGUGCCGGCAAGGUUAAGCACUAAAAGUGUGAAGCCGUAGGGAGACCAAGUCCUAAUAGGGCGUCAAGUCGGUAGGUGCAGGCCCGAAACCGGGUGAUCUAUCCAUGUCCAGGUUGAAGUCCGCGUAAAGGCGGAUGGAGGACCGAACCCACAUCCGUUGAAAAGGGUGGGGAUGAGGUGUGGAUAGGGGAGAAAUUCCAAUCGAACCCGGAGAUAGCUGGUUCUCCCCGAAAUAGUUUUAGGACUAGCCUGCAGGGAGUCUGGCGGAGGUAGAGCACUGGAUUCUUGCGGGGGCGUCAAAGCCUACCAAGAGAUACCAAACUCCGAAUGCCGCACAGAUGAUCCUGCGGAGUCAGGCCGUAUGAGAUAAGUCGGACGGCCGAGAGGGAAAGAGCCCAGACCCGCAGUUAAGGUCCCAAAGUAUGCGUUAAGUGGAAAAGGAUGUGAGAUUUCCCAGACAGCUAGGACGUUGGCUUAGAAGCAGCCAUACGUUUAAAGAGUGCGUAACAGCUCACUAGUCGAGAGGUCCUGCGCCGAAAAUGUCCGGGGCUAAAACGCAGCACCGAAACACGGGGAUGCCGCAAGGCAUCGGUAGGGGAGCAUUCCUGAGAGCAAAGAAGCUGUGCCGAAAGGGAUAGUGGAGUUACAGGAAGGGAGAAUGCCGGAAUGAGUAGCGAGAGUGGGGUGAGAAUCCCCACGGCCGAAUAUCCAAGGUUUCCCGGGUAAAGCUGAUCUGCCCGGGGAGAGUCGGGACCUAAGGCGAGGCCGAAAGGCGUAGCCGAUGGACAACAGGUGGAAAGUCCUGUACUGUAAGCAGUCAGAAAUGUGGGGACGCGGAUAGCGAUACCGGACCCGGGUAAGCAGUAUCCGGGGUAAAUACAGUUUAGGGAAGGGAGGAAAAACCCCCUUUAGAAAUAAGCUGUGUGAGUCCGAGCGAACAUAAGUAGCAAAGCCGGAGUAGAGUCCGCCAAGAAAAGCCGCUAUAAAGCUGCCUACACCCGUACCGUAAACCGACACAGGUGGAUGGGGAGAGAAUCCCAAGGCCGACGGGAGAAGCAUCGUCAAGGAACUCGGCAAAAUGACCCCGUAACUUAGGGAGAAGGGGUGCCGGCAUUAAAAGCCGGCCGCAGAAAAGAGGCCCAAGCAACUGUUUAGCAAAAACACAGGUCUAUGCGAAACCGAAAGGUGAAGUAUAUGGGCUGACGCCUGCCCGGUGCCGGAAGGUCAAGAGGAGGGGUGAGGGAAACCAAAGCUCUAAAUCCAAGCCCCGGUAAACGGCGGCCGUAACUAUAACGGUCCUAAGGUAGCGAAAUUCCUUGUCGGGUAAGUUCCGACCCGCACGAAAGGCGUAAUGAUUUGGGCGCUGUCUCGACGAUGGACCCGGUGAAAUUGAAGUGCCAGUGAAGAUGCUGGCAGCCCGCGCCAGGACGGAAAGACCCCAUGGAGCUUUACUCCAGCUUGGUGCUGGGACACGGUAGUGCCCGUACAGGAUAGGUGGGAGGCUAUGAAGCAUUGGCGCCAGCCGAUGCAGAGCCGAUGUUGGGAUACCACCCCCGCACUACCGGGUUUCUAACGCAGAGCCGUAAACCGGCAUGCGGACAAUGCCAGGCGGGGAGUUUGACUGGGGCGGUCGCCUCCGAAAGGGUAUCGGAGGCGCCCAAAGGUCCCCUCAGGAUGGACGGAAACCAUCCGCAGAGUGCAAAGGCAGAAGGGGGCCUGACUGCGACAGCGACGGCUGGAGCAGGCAGGAAACUGGGGCUUAGUGAUCCGGUGGCAGAAAGUGGGAUUGCCAUCGCUCAACGGAUAAAAGCUACCCUGGGGAUAACAGGCUUAUCACUCCCAAGAGUUCACAUCGACGGAGUGGUUUGGCACCUCGAUGUCGGCUCAUCGCAUCCCGGGGCUGUAGCAGGUCCCAAGGGUUGGGCUGUUCGCCCAUUAAAGCGGUACGCGAGCUGGGUUCAGAACGUCGUGAGACAGUUCGGUCCCUAUCCGGCGUGGGCGCAGGAAGUUUGAGGGGAGCCGUUCCUAGUACGAGAGGACCGGGACGGACCGACCGCUGGUAUGCCUGUUGGGGAGCAACCCCAUGGCAGGGAAGCCAAGUCGGGAAGGGAUAAACGCUGAAAGCAUCUAAGCGUGAAGCCCCCCCUAAGAUGAGACCUCCCGCGCGUAAGCGUUAAGACCCCUUGAAGACUACGAGGUUGAUAGGACGCAGGUGUAAGUGCAGCAAUGUACUAAGCCAGGCGUUACUAAUAGGUCGAGGGUUUAACCAGA
Johnsonella ignava ATCC 51276 is the source of this 2896-nucleotide ribosomal RNA. It matches the Rfam family "Bacterial large subunit ribosomal RNA". The record is from Rfam. NCBI's taxonomy places the organism in Bacteria, Bacillati, Bacillota, Clostridia, Lachnospirales, Lachnospiraceae.